RNAcentral lists this ribosomal RNA (468 nucleotides) under uncultured bacterium. RNAcentral's name for it is "partial 16S ribosomal RNA". It matches the Rfam family "Bacterial small subunit ribosomal RNA", at positions 28 to 507 of the family's 1533-position model. The record is from RNAcentral.
GAUGAACGCUGGCGGCGUGCUUAAUACAUGCAAGUCGAACGGAAAGGAAAAAGCUUGAUUGGGAGCUCGAAUGGAGAACGGGCGGGUAAAACGUGGGUGAUAUGCCCUGCAUUUCGGGUCAAUAUUGGGAGACUGGGUCUAAUAAUGGAUAGGAAGAUGGUUUGGUUGGCAUUGUGGAAAGUUAUUUCGGUGUGGGAUGAGCUAGUGGCCUAUCAGCUUGUUGGUGGGGUAAUGGGCUACCAAGGAGUCGCCGGGUAGCCGGCCUGAGAGGGUGUACGGCCACAUUGCGACUCAGAUACGGCCCAGACUCCUACGUGAGUCAGCAGUGUGGAAUAUUGCACAAUCCGCGCAAGCCUGAUGCAGCGACGCCGCGUGAGGGAUGACGGCCUUCGGCUUUCAAACUCCUUUCACCAGGUACGAAGCGUUUUUGUGGCGGUACCUGGAAAAGAAGCACCGGCUAACUACGUG